GAUGAACGCUGGCGGCGUGCCUAAUACAUGCAAGUCGAGCGAACAGACGAGGAGCUUGCUCCUCUGACGUUAGCGGCGGACGGGUGAGUAACACGUGGAUAACCUACCUAUAAGACUGGGAUAACUUCGGGAAACCGGAGCUAAUACCGGAUAAUAUAUUGAACCGCAUGGUUCAAUAGCGAAAGACGGUUUUGCUGUCACUUAUAGAUGGAUCCGCGCCGCAUUAGCUAGUUGGUAAGGUAACGGCUUACCAAGGCGACGAUGCGUAGCCGACCUGAGAGGGUGAUCGGCUACACUGGAACUGAGACACGGUCCAGACUCCUACGGGAGGCAGCAGUAGGGAAUCUUCCGCAAUGGGCGAAAGCCUGACGGAGCAACGCCGCGUGAGUGAUGAAGGUCUUCGGAUCGUAAAACUCUGUUAUUAGGGAAGAACAAAUGUGUAAGUAACUAUGCACGUCUUGACGGUACCUAAUCAGAAAGCCACGGCUAACUACGUG
This 497-nucleotide ribosomal RNA is filed under the name uncultured bacterium. Its description in RNAcentral is "partial 16S ribosomal RNA". It matches the Rfam family "Bacterial small subunit ribosomal RNA", at positions 28 to 507 of the family's 1533-position model. The record is from RNAcentral.